RNAcentral lists this transfer RNA (73 nucleotides) under Mus musculus (house mouse). Its description in RNAcentral is "tRNA-Ser". Lineage: Eukaryota; Metazoa; Chordata; Mammalia; Rodentia; Muridae. The record is from RNAcentral.
GGAGAGAUGGCUCAGUGGUUAAGAGCACUGACUGCUCUUCCAGGGGUCCUGAGUUCAAUUCCCAGCAACCACA